AGCUGAGCCAGAGACAGUCACAGAGGAACAAGAUCAAGAUGCGCUUUAACUGAGAAGCCCCCAAGGCAGAGGCUGAGAAUCAGAAGACAUUUCAGCAGACAUCUACAAAUCUGAAGGACAAAACAUGGUUCAAGCAUCUGGGCACAGGCGGUCCACCCGUGGCUCCAAAAUGGUCUCCUGGUCCGUGAUAGCAAAGAUCCAGGAAAUAUGAUGCGAGGAAGAUGAGAGGAAGAUGGCGCGAGAGUUCCUGGCCGAGUUCAUGAGCACAUAUGUCAUGAUGGUAUUCGGCCUUGGUUCCGUGGCCCAUAUGCUUCUAAAUAAAACAUUUGGGAGCUACCUUGGUGUCAACUUGGGUUUUGGCUUCGGAGUCACCAUGGGAGUGCACAUGGCAGGCCGCACCUCUGGAGCCCACAUGAACGCAGCUGUGAGCCUCACUAACUGUGCACUGGGCCGUGUGCCCUGGAGGAAGUUUCCAGUCUAUGUGCUGGGGCAGUUCCUGGGCUCCUUCCUGGCAGCUGCCACCAUCUACAGUCUCUUCUACACGGCCAUUCUCCACUUUUCGGGUGGAGAGCUGAUGGUGACCGGUCCCGUUGCUACAGUUGGCAUUUUUGCCACCUACCUUCCUGAUCACAUGACAUUGUGGCGGGGCUUCCUGAAUGAGGAGUGGCUGACCGGGAUGCUCCAGCUGUGUCUCUUCGCCAUCGUGGACCAGGAGAACAACCCAGCACUGCCAGGAACACACGCACUGGUGAUAGGCAUCCUCGUGGUCAUCAUCAGGGUGUACCAUGGCAUGAACACAGGAUAUGCCAUCAAUCCGUCCCGGGACCUGCCCCCCCGCAUCUUCACCUUCAUUGCUGGUUGGGGCAAACUGGUCUUCAGCGAUGGGGAGAACUUGUGGUGGGUGCCAGUGGUGGCACCACUUCUGGGUGCCUCUCUAGGUGGCAUCAUCUACCUGGUCUUCAUUGGCUCCACCAUCCCACGGGAGCCCCUGAAAUUGGAGGACUCUGUGGCAUAUGAAGACCACGGGAUAACCGUAUUGCCCAAGAUGGGAUCUCAUGAACCCAUGAUCUCUCCCCUUACCCUCAUCUCCGUGAGCCCUGCCAACAGAUCUUCAGUCCACCCUGCCCCACCCUUACAUGAAUCCAUGGCCCUAGAGCACUUCUAAGCAGAGAUUAUUUGUGAUCCCAUCCCUUCCCCAAUAAAGAGAAGCUUGUCCCACA
Long non-coding RNA from Homo sapiens (human), 1220 nucleotides. RefSeq annotates it as putative aquaporin-7-like protein 3. The transcript is spliced from 8 exons. NCBI's taxonomy places the organism in Eukaryota, Metazoa, Chordata, Mammalia, Primates, Hominidae. The record is from RefSeq and is marked validated.